This 440-nucleotide ribosomal RNA is filed under the name uncultured bacterium. Its description in RNAcentral is "partial 16S ribosomal RNA". It matches the Rfam family "Bacterial small subunit ribosomal RNA", at positions 338 to 795 of the family's 1533-position model. The record is from RNAcentral.
CCUACGGGAGGCAGCAGUGGGGAAUAUUGCACAAUGGGGGAAACCCUGAUGCAGCGACGCCGCGUGAGUGAAGAAGUAAUUCGUUAUGUAAAGCUCUAUCAGCAGGGAAGAAAAUGACGGUACCUGAGUAAGAAGCCCCGGCUAACUACGUGCCAGCAGCCGCGGUACUACGUAGGGGGCAAGCGUUAUCCGGAUUUACUGGGUGUAAAGGGAGCGUAGACGGCAGUGCAAGUCUGGAGUGAAAGGCGGGGGCUCAACCCCAGGACUGCAGUGGAAACUGGACGGCUGGAGUGCAGGAGAGGUAAGUGGAAUUCCUGGUGUAGCGGUGAAAUGCGUAGAUAUCAGGAGGAACACCAGUGGCGAAGGCGGCUUACUGGACUGUAACUGACGGUGAGGCUCGAAAGCGUGGGGAGCAAACAGGAUUAGAUACCCGGGUAGUC